RNAcentral lists this ribosomal RNA (491 nucleotides) under uncultured bacterium. RNAcentral describes it as "bacterial SSU rRNA". It matches the Rfam family "Bacterial small subunit ribosomal RNA", at positions 33 to 507 of the family's 1533-position model. The record is from RNAcentral.
ACGCUGGCGGCGUGGAUUAGGCAUGCAAGUCGGACGGUAGGGCUUUAUCGUAAGAUAGAGUUUGAGAGUGGCGAACGGGUGAGUAACACGUAGGAAUCUACCCUUAAGACGGGGACAACCCAGGGAAACUUGGGGCUAAUACCGGGAUGAGAGUGCGCGAGAUUGCAUUUAAAAGGAUGGCGAAAGUUGUCGCUUAGGGAUGAGCCUGCGGUCUAUUAGUUAGUUGGUGAGGUAAGAGCUCACCAAGGCGAUGAUAGAUAGGCGGCCUUAACGGGUGGUCGCCCACACUGGGAUUGAGAUACGGCCCAGACUCCUACGGGAGGCAGCAGUCGAGAAUAGUCUACAAUGGCCGGAAGGCUGAUAGUGCGACGCCGCGUGAACGAGGGAGCCCUUCGGGGUGUAAAGUUCUUUUCUAUACGAGCAGUGCUAUAUAUAUGGAUAGUAUAUAUAGAGGGAUAGUAGUAUAGGAAUAAGCAACGGCUAACUCCGUG